AUGCUCACUUCCACAGCCCCCAUUUUAAAAUGGGAAUGAUAUAGGGAAGAUUAUCAUGGUCUCUGUGCAAGGGUGACAUAUAAAUUUACAAAGCAUUCUAUACUUUU
Molecule: small nuclear RNA, 107 nt
Organism: Trichosurus vulpecula (common brushtail)
Lineage: Eukaryota; Metazoa; Chordata; Mammalia; Diprotodontia; Phalangeridae
Source: RefSeq, a predicted model, not a curated record